AGAGCACAUCUCAACACACUGAGAAGAGCAAGGGAGUGUGAGGAUGAGGUUACCCUGAAAGACAAACAAGCAAGGGGAUGGAAUUCCAAGCCUGAAAAAGAGAAAAGAGAUAAAGCUUUGAUUGUGAGCAAAUAAAACCGGAAAUCUAGAAAACCUGGUUGAGAGGAACUGGAGCGAGAGAGCAACUGGAUGGGGAGCAGCAAUAUUGACAAGAAGGCUGGAGACAAGUUUUGUGAACAGCAGCUCAGGAGGCCUAGGAUAUUUUGCUGUUUCCUAAGGAAAGACGCUCUCUAUGCCUGCCUUUUCUCUUCUGGGUUCUUGUGCCCUACCAGACUCUUGCUCAAAGGUUGUCAUACAAUUCAGCUGUGCCUGACAGCCAGCACUGUCACAGCUAUUGUGGUGGCUCUGAGACUGAAAUUCAACCUCCAGAUGUAGCUGGGAGUUAGUUCAUCAGUGUCAGGGAAGACUGGAGCCAGCUGAAGGACUUGAACGCAGGCCCAAUGAGCUGGCCACAUGGAAAAGCCAAGCAGCUACAUACUGUAAUCCUGAACAGCCCAUUCAACGGUCAGAUAUCCAGAUAGCUUGCUGGGCUCCAGGGCAACAAACAAAAGCAAUGAUGAAAACACAGAAAUUUUGCAGAUCAGUAGAUGCAUUUCAUACUCCUGAAAAUUGGACCACUUGGAUUAAGCUGCCUAACUCAAUUAUUUUUAGGGAAAGAAGGGGAAAAAUAACCUUGAAGUCUGUAGUUUGUUAUCACAUCCUAAGACCUUUCUUGGAUUUUUGAUCAGAUGGAACGGAUAUGGUCAAGAGGGAAUGUCAUUCUUUGGUGGGUCUUUCUGUAGUCUUACAUAACAGAUUAAUAAAUUUACUUGGCUUGUUCUGUUGACUAGAGAACAGUGACUUUUUUUUGGAAGAAACAUUUUUCCUCUGAAAAAUGCUUAUUUAAUUCUACCAAAUUUCUCUGUAUUCUGGCUGAUACAUAUAUUUUUUUUUUUUUGGCCAAAAACAUUCAAACAUUUCAGAAGAGCUUAAAUAUUUUGAUUUUUCAUUAAAAUGAAGUGCUUUGUUUCAUGCUGUACCCAGAACCUUUUAAAAAUAAAUUUUAUAAAAGCUUUUAUUCAUCU
RNAcentral lists this long non-coding RNA (1124 nucleotides) under Gallus gallus (chicken). RNAcentral describes it as "lncRNA (ENSGALG00010016334.1)". Lineage: Eukaryota; Metazoa; Chordata; Aves; Galliformes; Phasianidae. The record is from RNAcentral.